AGCGAACGCUGGCGGCGUGCUUAACACAUGCAAGUCGAACGAAGGCUUCGGCCUUAGUGGCGGACGGGUGAGUAACGCGUGGGAAUCUACCUUACGGCGGGGAAUAACAGCGGGAAACUGCUGCUAAUACCGCAUACGCUCCACGGAGGAAAGGCUUCGGCCACCGUUUGAGGAUCCCGCGUCCGAUUAGCUAGUUGGUGAGGUAACGGCUCACCAAGGCGACGAUCGGUAGCUGGUCUGAGAGGAUGAUCAGCCACACUGGGACUGAGACACGGCCCAGACUCCUACGGGAGGCAGCAGUGGGGAAUAUUGGACAAUGGGGGAAACCCUGAUCCAGCGACGCCGCGUGAAUGAUGAAGGCCUUAGGGUUGUAAAGUUCUUUCGUCCGUGACGAUGAUGACAGUAGCGGAAGAAGAAGCUCCGGCUAACUUCGUGCCAGCAGCCGCCGUAA
RNAcentral lists this ribosomal RNA (451 nucleotides) under uncultured bacterium. RNAcentral's name for it is "partial 16S ribosomal RNA". It matches the Rfam family "Bacterial small subunit ribosomal RNA", at positions 29 to 523 of the family's 1533-position model. The record is from RNAcentral.